AUUUGAGAAACACUGCUCUAAACAAUUCUGUUUCAGAGGUCAGCAGAAAACUCCUCUGACUUCAUGAUUUUUGUGCUCCGACAUGUGCCGUCAACUAUGGACCUUAUAUAGAUAGUUUGACAACAAUCUAAAACAAAGUGUUAAAAGCAAUAAUGCACUUACAUUCAGUUGAUUUUUAUUGGUGAUAUUUGCAGAAAGGCCACUGUCCUUGUACCGUCCGUCUAUGAUUCUAGUGGUUAAAUGCCAGAGAGCUCUGUCCAAGACCCAGGCUGGACGUAGAUGGGGAGUGUUCACCAGGUUGUAACCA
This is a long non-coding RNA of Hippocampus zosterae (dwarf seahorse), 307 nucleotides long. RefSeq lists it as uncharacterized. The transcript has 2 exons. NCBI's taxonomy places the organism in Eukaryota, Metazoa, Chordata, Actinopteri, Syngnathiformes, Syngnathidae. The record is from RefSeq and is a predicted model, not a curated record.